This is a long non-coding RNA of Amphimedon queenslandica, 195 nucleotides long. RefSeq lists it as uncharacterized. The transcript has 3 exons. The record is from RefSeq and is a predicted model, not a curated record. Lineage: Eukaryota; Metazoa; Porifera; Demospongiae; Haplosclerida; Niphatidae.
CAAGUUUAUUAGUUACUAGAUACAGAAGCUCGUACUAGCAUUUUUCUUGUACUGGUAUAUUACCAUCACAGUACUGCCAUAUUUUUGUCGGCAUCACUGGGCACAGUUGGGAAGAGUAGAUCGUUGAAUGUUACAACUGCUACCAGUACUAGCAUCUGAAUGAGGACCAUGUUGGGGUCUUUUGCUGGAACCACU